Non-coding RNA from Streptosporangium roseum DSM 43021, 130 nucleotides. The record is from Rfam. Lineage: Bacteria; Bacillati; Actinomycetota; Actinomycetes; Streptosporangiales; Streptosporangiaceae.
UUGCCGGUGGAAGUCCGGUCCGGGUAGCUGCCAGGAGGCCCGAUAGCAGGCCGGCGGCUUCGUCUGGAAACGGGCGGGGUCGAAGCCCGGCGUCGAAAGCCCUUAGGGUCGCUUCACUUGGUGAGCGGGU